AGAUGCGAUGAUACCAGCACUAAAGCACCGGAUCCCAUCAGAACUCCGAAGUUAAGCGUGCUUGGGCAAGAGUAGUACUAGGAUGGGUGACCUCCUGGGAAGUCCUCGUGUUGCAUUCC
RNAcentral lists this ribosomal RNA (119 nucleotides) under Triticum aestivum (bread wheat). The record is from RNAcentral. Lineage: Eukaryota; Viridiplantae; Streptophyta; Magnoliopsida; Poales; Poaceae.